Misgurnus anguillicaudatus (oriental weatherfish) is the source of this 810-nucleotide non-coding RNA. Lineage: Eukaryota; Metazoa; Chordata; Actinopteri; Cypriniformes; Cobitidae. The record is from RefSeq and is a predicted model, not a curated record.
CAUGAUGAUAUUCCAACUCCUGUCUACAAAAGUGGGAAGAAAAUCUUAAGUCUAUGUUGGGACCAACAUGGUUGCAUUCUUCUGAGAGGCUGAGGUGACAAAACCAUUCCCAUUUGUCCUUGGAUUGGAAGAUGGCGAUCUCUGCCAUCAAGCCUUCGUUGUUUUUGACAGACAGUCACUCCAGCAAUACACCCUCCUUGGUGAUGUUGACAUGUUUUAAACUUUUUUUAUGUUUUGGACAUUAAUUUUACUAAGCAGUGCACAUCAGUGUGGGUGUUUUUGAAGACUGUUGUUUACAAACUCCCAAGAACAGAAUCCCUUUCUAUAAGAAGUCUGUGUAGUUAUUUGUCAUGCUGAUAACUGUUACAUUAACCAUUUCUUAUUACACGGUUCUCUAAAAUGCUAGAUUCUGAUUGGCCAGUCGUGACAUUCUACUACUGCUCAAAACUAAAAACUCCAAUGCUGCAAAUCAUUUUGACAGGUACAGUCUUAUAUUACACAAAAAUUAAAUAUCAAUGUCUAUUAAUUACAUAUCCGACAUUAAAUUUACAAAUGAUUAAACCAAUGUGUUCGUGACAUUUGUCCUGAAGAAACUGUUGGGGCUUUUUUUCUGUGAUGACAUGCUGCCAAUACAUUAUCCCUUACUUGUACAACUUUUUACAUGAUCUAAUUGUAAUGAUAACUGGGUUUCUGUCAUUUUAGAUUGUGAGAUAUAAUACUAAUAUAUUUUUUAUCAGAAAGUUGAUUGUUUGUGUAGGGCUAUGUACUCUCUUAUUGUUCAUGUGCAAUAAAUAUGCUUUUUCAAUUAAA